AGGACGAACGCUGGCGGCGUGCCUAACACAUGCAAGUGGAGCGACGAACCAGGCUUCGGCCUGGGGCAGAGCCGCGAACGGGUGAGUAACACGUGAGUAACCUGCCCUUGACUCUGGGAUAAGCGUUGGAAACGACGUCUAAUACCGGAUACGACCUCCGAAGGCAUCUUCUGGAGGUGGAAAGAAUUUCGGUCAAGGAUGGACUCGCGGCCUAUCAGCUAGUUGGUGAGGUAAUGGCCCACCAAGGCGACGACGGGUAGCCGGCCUGAGAGGGUGACCGGCCACACUGGGACUGAGACACGGCCCAGACUCCUACGGGAGGCAGCAGUGGGGGAAUAUUGCACAAUGGGCGCAAGCCUGAUGCAGCAACGCCGCGUGAGGGACGACGGCCUUCGGGUUGUAAACCUCUUUUACGUAGGGAAGAAGCGAUGUGCUUGUCACAUCAUGACGGUACCUGCAGAAAAGCACCGGCUAACUACGUGCCAGCAGCCGCGGUAAUC
Molecule: ribosomal RNA, 500 nt
Filed under: uncultured bacterium
Lineage: Bacteria
Description: SSU rRNA
Rfam family: Bacterial small subunit ribosomal RNA
Source: RNAcentral